AGGAUUUUAAGUUAAGUAAACUAUAAGUUUUCAAGACUUAAAAUGAAUUAUAUAAUUUAAAUUCUG
RNAcentral lists this transfer RNA (66 nucleotides) under Cistopus chinensis. RNAcentral describes it as "tRNA-Trp". The record is from RNAcentral. Lineage: Eukaryota; Metazoa; Mollusca; Cephalopoda; Octopoda; Octopodidae.